RNAcentral lists this long non-coding RNA (354 nucleotides) under Salvia miltiorrhiza (redroot sage). Its description in RNAcentral is "long non-coding RNA (SMIL_LNC006555)". Lineage: Eukaryota; Viridiplantae; Streptophyta; Magnoliopsida; Lamiales; Lamiaceae. The record is from RNAcentral.
AAAACUAUGAGAGUUCAUCAAGUGCUACUGGGAGUGAAGAAAAUUCUUCCAACUUCUCAGAUCCUUCUGGUCCUAUUCAUGGAAGUAGUGAUAAUGAGAACGAAUUAGAAAGAAGUAGUGUUGCGUCAAACUCAUCAAUGGAUGAAAAUGAUAAUCCUGAGUGCUCCCCUCUACCUGUCUCGAAUCAGCAAGAUGGCGCCUCAUCAGUGGAUGAAAAUGAUACUCAGAUGUGUGCGGAUAAUCCUGAAUGCUCCCCUGUAUCUGUCUCAAGCCACCAAGAAAGCGUCUCAUCAAAAUCAGCAGGAAAUGAUGACUCUGUAGGGAAAGUAGCUACGGAGAUAAAGGAGAUCAAAC